This 479-nucleotide ribosomal RNA is filed under the name uncultured bacterium. RNAcentral describes it as "partial 16S ribosomal RNA". It matches the Rfam family "Bacterial small subunit ribosomal RNA", at positions 28 to 507 of the family's 1533-position model. The record is from RNAcentral.
GAUGAACGCUAGCGGGAGGCCUAACACAUGCAAGCCGAGCGGUAUUGUUUCUUCGGAAAUGAGAGAGCGGCGUACGGGUGCGUAACGCGUGUGCAACCUGCCUUUAUCUGGGGGAUAGCCUUUCGAAAGGAAGAUUAAUACUCCAUAAUAUAUUGAACGGCAUCGUUUAAUAUUUAAAGCUCCGGCGGAUAGAGAUGGGCACGCGCAAGAUUAGCUAGUUGGUGAGGUAACGGCUCACCAAGGCGAUGAUCUUUAGGGGGCCUGAGAGGGUGAUCCCCCACACUGGUACUGAGACACGGACCAGACUCCUACGGGAGGCAGCAGUGAGGAAUAUUGGUCAAUGGGUGCAAGCCUGAACCAGCCAUCCCGCGUGAAGGACGACUGCCCUAUGGGUUGUAAACUUCUUUUGUAUAGGGAUAAACCUACCCUCGUGAGGGUAGCUGAAGGUACUAUACGAAUAAGCACCGGCUAACUCCGUG